AUCCAUACACAGCUGUUCGCAGUGCAUUCAGCGCUACUUCGCACACGGAAGACAGUUUAUACAGCGUUUCUUUUGCGAUAUUUUCCUCUUUUUGGUGCUUUUUUAGGCCCUAAGGACAUCAAGGACAUUGAUGGUUAUAUUCCGAUCCCUCCAACUCGCACGACAAACGUCAUGACGAACAGUCUGUACUUGGUUUUGGUGGUCGUUUUUGUCGGAAUUAUAACAGGUUCCACGGCGCUCAACUGCUGGCAAGAGGACAAGAUGCCUACUGGGAUGAUAGGAGGAUCCAAGGGUAUGAUGGUGACGUGUGGUGACAAGAACGAUGUUUGCGUGCACAUGGAAUGGCUUGCCCAAACGAGACCCGAAUGGCGAUGGGGAUCCCGUAAGGACUGCGGAAAGUGGGAAGAGACGUGCGGGGAGCCAAGCAACAAAAUUCGAGACAGAUUCAAGUGCUGGACGUGCUCGACUAAUAUGUGCAACGCCUCCUGGCGGAUGAUGCCGAAUUUGUCAAUCUUGUUACUUCCUUUUGCCAUGUUGAAAAUGUUUUUGUAAAUAUGUUGGUGCCGGACGUCCUUUAGCCAUGCAAAUCAGUGUCAUCUUUGAUCAUGGACUGUCUCGGUCACGUGAUUGUCCAGGGUGAACGGUGCCGGUGUAAAAGUAAAAAGUGUCCCCCCUAGAAAAAGUGUCCGGGCCUAUUGUACUCUGACAGAUUAUGGCAUAUGGUUCUAUAGAGGCAAUGACCGUCACUAGCUCAGCGCAUAAUAGAAUCCUUUGUUCCCGGACAUUUUAUCCUAGGACAUUUUAAAUUUCUACACCGGAACGAAAUGGUAGCAGCAGCGUGCGCUGACUGAUCACGGGAAUUAAGUGACAAUAAUUCAACAGAAGGUUCAAGUCCACAUCUCAAACAUACGCUAGAGCUCGGCCUCGGCCUUUCUCCGUAGAGUAUAUUUGACCCGUCAGUUUUAACAACCAGCCAUCUUCAUCGGUAUCUGUUUUAGAUUUUAUACAUAUGACUAUUCAUGUUUAGACAAAUACUCCAUCCCUUGUUAAUAAGCAACUGACACUUUUUCUGUACUACGGUGACGAAAUGCUAAACUAUCUUGAUUUUCUUGUGCAUUGGCAAAGGCUAGGCUUUAACAUUUGCUUGGUUCUCAUCCUCGAUUUACGGGUGACAAGAUUUUAACCUAUUCAUAGACUGAGCUAAUUUUUAUAAAUUUACAGAAAUAUAGCUUUUUGGUGGAAUUGACUUGUAAGCGAUGCAUCUGUCCUACACAAUUAUGCAGUUUUGUAUUCAUGUAGAAAUUUCUGUAUAUAUAAGUACCACUCAUGUAUUGGCAUUUUAAUUGCUGAAAAUUCCUGGCUGAUCUUGUUGAUAUAAGUAAAAUUCGUCCAAUUUAAAGUGUUCAACAUAUACAUGUAUUGGGACAGAAAAAAGCUGUUUUAAAUAGAGAUAUGGACUGAUUACAGAGGUAAGGAUAAAUGACCACAUUUACUGUGCUCAGAGAGAGGUGUCCGCUUAGAAGGGUUCCACUGUACAUUGACACUAGACCCUCUCUAAGCGGACUGCACCUCUGUAAGCAGGACCCCACCUCUCUAUUGAGGAUACUUUUGAUUUAGGUCCAAAAUUGGUAAUUUUUAUUCAAUUUGACCUCUGUAAUCAGGGACCAUGGGUGUUCUGCUGUAUUUGACUGUUUUGGAUAAAACUGUUGAAGAUAGUGAUUAUCAUAUUAGAUGUAUUAGUUUUAUUCAUAUCGUAGGAAAACCAUGUAAAGUUUAUUUAGUUCAGCUGCUGGUAUUUUCAAAAUGCUUUGUAAUCAGUGUAAUGUAUAUAAAUGAUUGUUUCAUUCAAUAAAAUUGAGGAUUAUAUAAGUAAAUAGGUCUCUAGGAUUUUAAGUA
Lineus longissimus is the source of this 1896-nucleotide long non-coding RNA. RefSeq lists it as uncharacterized. The transcript is spliced from 3 exons. Lineage: Eukaryota; Metazoa; Nemertea; Pilidiophora; Heteronemertea; Lineidae. The record is from RefSeq and is a predicted model, not a curated record.